RNAcentral lists this long non-coding RNA (1384 nucleotides) under Dicentrarchus labrax (European seabass). Its description in RNAcentral is "lncRNA (ENSDLAG00005016630.2)". The record is from RNAcentral. Lineage: Eukaryota; Metazoa; Chordata; Actinopteri; Moronidae.
CUAACCUUGAACUGAUGAUUGAUAAAUAAUCAUUCAAGUUGGGAAGGAUGACGUAAUAUCAUGCUCUGCUGACAUGACACAAGAGACUCAUUUGGAACAGCUGAUAGUCACCUCAGAAGAUGGAGAGGCAAUUUGGUAUUUUUCAAAAUACCUUCUCCAUGAUCCAUAAUACAUAAAAAAACACACAUACGCCUGGACAGUGUAUACAACUCUAGAGGGCUUUUAAUUUGAAAACAGGGCUUUUAAUUUGAAAUACAUAUUAGAACUGGAGAAAUACCAGAAGAGACUGUGGCUUUGUCUCUUCCCUCUUCUGCUCCGCAAAACCGAGAGACCGGCGGAACAAGUCCAUUAAGCGAGUUCAUCUCCAACGAAGGUUUUACCGCGUUAAAGACACUUUAGAAAGAAAGAAUGGCGCUACAAAGAAUUCUGAUGGAGAAGAAAGGGACGCUGCUCUCUCGGCUCCAACCUCUACACAUUGGUGUGGUCUGCAUUAAAGACCAGCCAAGGGUUGUCUCAUGGAAUUUCACCGACAGCGGGACACACAGUUUUUCAGUUCGACACCAGUGCUGGUGUCACAGAAGCUGCAGAUGGAGGCGGAGAGGCUCCUCAAUCCCGUCUCCAAGAUGAGUCCCUUGAAAGGCAUCAAGAAGACGCAGGGAUUGGUGACGGUGGAGGGGGAGGUGGUGAAGAUCUCCGCCAUCAAACGGAUGCAGGUGAAGAACAAUGUGGUGCCCCUGAGGAUGCUGAAUUUACAGGAAGACAGCACACAGGUUGCAGUAAACCUGUGGAGGGAGGCAGCUGUGUUGCCACUCCAGAAGGGAGCCCAAAUAAAGCUUACACAUUUGAGAUCAGUCACAUCAAAAUAUGGACACCACCUGCAGUCCACAACCUUUACAGCAUUUGAGGACGUCCCAGUCAAAACUUGCAUUCUGGGUGUGAUGGGAGUGCUGGAGUGCGAUGACAAGCCGGGAAUGUUGCAGCUUCUGGUGCAGGAGAAUGAUACUGUGUUUGAAACUGAGCUGGCUGUUUGGCACCCAAUAGGGAAGAAAUUGUGCAGAGUGCCAUUCAAAGUCAAAGUUCAAACCGUUGGAAAAAAGAUAAUUAGUGUUGAGGCCGUUGAGGAAGAGGAGGAAGAGGAGGAAGAGGAGGAAAAGGAAGAGGUGUACUGUACUUAAGCGAAAAUUUGAGACAUUCCUCAAUAACAUUAAGCUUGACUUCAACCACCGAGCGCCAACUGAGGGUAGAUCUUCCCCUAAAUCUCUGAAGGCUAUCCGACACACUGGCAGCUAACUGAGUGUACCAUAACAGGCAUGUAAUAAAAAAAACCCUGUGCUGAGAGUCUCUACUGAGUUUUUGUGUCAUUGUCCAUUGUCGGGAGUUUGAC